Kogia breviceps (pygmy sperm whale) is the source of this 624-nucleotide non-coding RNA. The record is from RefSeq and is a predicted model, not a curated record. Lineage: Eukaryota; Metazoa; Chordata; Mammalia; Artiodactyla; Physeteridae.
UCACGCUGGGGGACAGCAGCCACCGUGUCAUGAAGACACUCAAGGAGCCCUGCAUAGCCACCUGGAUGGAGAGGACCUGAGGCCUCCCACCGACAGCCAGCACCCACUUGCCAGCUGUGUAGAAUUAUCUGGAACAGAGCUCUGCUGAUCUGGUGGCAGACAGGCAUUCUUUAUUCUGUUAGGGGAAAAAAAAAAAUUUCAGGAAACCCUGGAUGGCUCCAGGCAAGUUCCUGCCAUUGAGUAACAGAGAGGCGGAAGUGAAAACAUUCUCCCAUCGGGUUUGCCCAACAGUGAAACCACGAGGGACUGAGAGACUUAAGGGAGGAAGAGGGAAGGAGCCACGGCUCAGCACCCAGACGUUAAGUGCACGACCCGCCAAGCUAUCAGGAGACCACACAGUAGAAAGACCAGUGGUGACUACCCUGCCAUGAAUUCACUUGACAAGCAUCCAUCUUUCCUGGCAUUAGUUUUCUCGUCUAUAAAAUGAGAUACAGGUGUACAACAGAGACGAUGAGAAUUCUGAGCCUUGUUUUGUGGCAAUUCUACCAGAAGGGGACUGCAUGGCACCACCACAAGAUUUCGUAAAUUACCCUGAACAUACUCAGUUAUUCACUAUUUGUUCGG